UAAUACGUAGGGACCAAGCGUUGUUCGGAUUUACUGGGCGUAAAGGGCGCGUAGGCGGCCCAACAAGUCACUUGUGAAAUCUCUGGGCUUAACCCAGAACGGCCAAGUGAAACUGUCGGGCUAGAGUGUAGAAGGGGCAAUCGGAAUUCUUGGUGUAGCGGUGAAAUGCGUAGAUAUCAAGAGGAACACCUGAGGUGAAGACGGGUUGCUGGUCUAACACUGACGCUGAGGCGCGAAAGCCAGGGGAGCAAACGGGAUUAGAUACCCCGGUAGUCCUGGCCCUAAACGAUGAAUACUUGGUGUCUGGAGUUUUAAAACUCUGGGUGCCGUCGCUAACGUUUUUAGUAUUCCGCCUGGGGAGUACGCUCGCAAGAGUG
This 377-nucleotide ribosomal RNA is filed under the name uncultured bacterium. Its description in RNAcentral is "bacterial SSU rRNA". It matches the Rfam family "Bacterial small subunit ribosomal RNA", at positions 521 to 896 of the family's 1533-position model. The record is from RNAcentral.